RNAcentral lists this ribosomal RNA (673 nucleotides) under Salmonella enterica. RNAcentral describes it as "partial 23S ribosomal RNA". It matches the Rfam family "Bacterial large subunit ribosomal RNA", at positions 1084 to 1756 of the family's 2925-position model. Lineage: Bacteria; Pseudomonadati; Pseudomonadota; Gammaproteobacteria; Enterobacterales; Enterobacteriaceae. The record is from RNAcentral.
CCCAGACAGCCAGGAUGUUGGCUUAGAAGCAGCCAUCAUUUAAAGAAAGCGUAAUAGCUCACUGGUCGAGUCGGCCUGCGCGGAAGAUGUAACGGGGCUAAACCAUGCACCGAAGCUGCGGCAGCGACGCUGAUGCGUUGUUGGGUAGGGGAGCGUUCUGUAAGCCUGUGAAGGUGGCCUGUGAGGGUUGCUGGAGGUAUCAGAAGUGCGAAUGCUGACAUAAGUAACGAUAAAGCGGGUGAAAAGCCCGCUCGCCGGAAGACCAAGGGUUCCUGUCCAACGUUAAUCGGGGCAGGGUGAGUCGACCCCUAAGGCGAGGCCGAAAGGCGUAGUCGAUGGGAAACGGGUUAAUAUUCCCGUACUUGGUGUUACUGCGAAGGGGGGACGGAGAAGGCUAUGUUGGCCGGGCGACGGUUGUCCCGGUUUAAGCGUGUAGGUGUGUGUUCCAGGUAAAUCCGGUUCACUUUAACACUGAGGCGUGAUGACGAGGCACUACGGUGCUGAAGCAACAAAUGCCCUGCUUCCAGGAAAAGCCUCUAAGCAUCAGGUAACAUCAAAUCGUACCCCAAACCGACACAGGUGGUCAGGUAGAGAAUACCAAGGCGCUUGAGAGAACUCGGGUGAAGGAACUAGGCAAAAUGGUGCCGUAACUUCGGGAGAAGGCACGCUGACA